ACAAUGCAAUGCGAGCUGUUUUUGUGGAGGGGUGUAUUUGCAAUUGUUGCUAACUCUAUAUAACCCACCCCAGCCCCCUUUGAGUGCUUUUUUGAGCCCUAACCAGUGGAGAAUCAGGGUAAGGCUUCCUCUACUUGUUUGAUCUCUAUUUUUGAUGGAUUUUUGCAUGUUUUGAUCUCCUCCUGUUUGUUUUUCCUUGCUUCUUGUUGGGUUCCACCAUGGGAGAAGCUUGGAUUUCGGGAUUGGAGCUUGAUAGAGGAUCAACCUUCAACCCUAGGU
RNAcentral lists this long non-coding RNA (279 nucleotides) under Ananas comosus (pineapple). RNAcentral describes it as "long non-coding RNA (ACOM_LNC034512)". The record is from RNAcentral. Lineage: Eukaryota; Viridiplantae; Streptophyta; Magnoliopsida; Poales; Bromeliaceae.